GAUGAACGCUGACAGAAUGCUUAACACAUGCAAGUCGAUGGGGAAGUGGUGCUUGCACCAUGGUAACCAUGGCGGACGGGUGAGUAACGCGUAAGGAACUUGCCUGCGGGACUGGGAUAACAGCAGGAAACUGCUGAUAAUACCGGAUAAGGUCAUUAAGCUGCAUAGCUUAGUGAUGAAAGGAGACGCCUGCGGAGAGCCUUGCGUCCUAUUAGCUAGUGGAGGGGUAACGGCCCACCAAGGCGAAGAUAGGUAGCCGGCCUGAGAGGGUGGACGGCCACAAGGGGACUGAGAUACGGCCCUUACUCCUACGGGAGGCAGCAGUGGGGAAUAUUGGACAAUGGGGGCAACCCUGAUCCAGCAAUUCUGUGUGCACGAAGACGGUUUUCGGAUUGUAAAGUGCUUUCAGCAGGGAAGAAGGAAGUGACGGUACCUGCAGAAGAAGCGACGGCUAAAUACGUG
This 462-nucleotide ribosomal RNA is filed under the name uncultured bacterium. RNAcentral's name for it is "partial 16S ribosomal RNA". It matches the Rfam family "Bacterial small subunit ribosomal RNA", at positions 28 to 507 of the family's 1533-position model. The record is from RNAcentral.